GGUGCCGGGAGCCGGGUUCCCGGCCGCCGCCGCCGCCGCCGCCGACUCCCGGCCGGUUCGCGGCACUGUGAAUGCACCAUUUUAGAGAGAACGAAUCAUCCUCGCAGCUAACGCUCCCAGGCGCUGCUCCGUGUUACAUGUGUCAGUUCAUUCAGUCCUUUCGCCCACCCUAGGGAGCAAGCACCAUAGGAUCUCCUCGUUACUGAAGAGGAACCCGAGGGACAAAGAGGCUGAGCCCCUUGCCUGAAGUUUCACAGCAGCAAGCCCUGGCAUGUGGAAUGAGAGCCUGUCUUUCAACAGCGUGCGGACCAGCGCCUUCCCACAAGCCUGUCCUAAAAAUGCACUUGCCAUGUGCCACGCGCUGUACUAGUGGCUCGGAUGCAUGUUAGCUUAUUCAAUCCUCAUGAAACAUUGAGAGAUUGCCUUAGAAGCCGCUUGUUUUGGAGAGCAACAGAGGCAGAACACUGAGCAGGGCCCCUCUACGCCCCCAGCUGUCUUCAUGCUGUGUCUUCCGAGCUGGCCUGCCUGCACAGCUUUCUUCUACUGCAGAAGAAACCAACUCGCCUGUAAAGAGACUUGAAAACGAGGUCCCCAGUUUUCCUGGUAAGGAAACUGAGUUUAGAGAGGGGUGUGACCAGAGAUACACUUGGACAAUGGAGUCACACUGUGGGGCUUAAGCUCAGGUGAGCUCUGGGCUCCCUGCUGGGGCUGGAGCGGGGCCUGUGUAUCACUGGUUGGCAGAGUAGACAGCAUGGUGGAGCAACGCCCUCUGCAGUCUGGCAGAGCUGUGGCCAUCAACCAGCCCUGCCCACUCCUUGGCCCACUCUCCCAGCUCCUCCCCACGUGGGGUCCCGCAGGUCCUACCGUCUGCACCGCGUGGCUAAAGAUGAGCUUCUCGGCAGUGACGCUCUGGAUGCGGUCCAGGAGCCGCUGCUUGUCAAGGAAGAAGCGCUGCAGCCGCAGGCUCAGGCUUUGGCAGGACACCACGCUGGUCUUGUACAGUUCGUUCAGUUUCCGCACCACUGCAGGAGGGGACCUUGCAGCUCAGGCUGACUGCAGGAGUGGGGACCAACAGGCAAAAAGCCCCUCACUCCACCCCCGGGGCAGCUUUCUGACCCCACCUCCUAUGCAUUCUGCCCCAGCAAUGCGCACUGUGCCUUCCCACCCCCAGACACACAGGGCCCUGCUUCGGGGCCUUUGCACCUGGCCUUCUACCAUGCCCCUGGCCAUUAUCCCACCUGGGUGGGGCCUGCACCAGGUAACCUUAGAAAGGCCUCCCGCAUCACCUCACCCUCCCUGUCUUCCCCACGAGCUCACAGCCUCCUGCCCCGACCCUGCUGGGAGCUCGAGCCAUCUGCACUCACCUUGCUUCACGGUGGACGACAGGCAGAGCUUGCCGGCCCGGAUCUGGUCGAUGGCGGUCUGCAGGCCCGAGGACAGGAGCUCGGCCACCUUCAGGUAAAGCACCAGCUGCUCUGCAAAACUGGAGGGCGGCACGGAUGUGUCAGGCGCCUGGGGGUCCCACGCCCCAGGCGGCCUCCCCGCUGGGCACCCACUGGACACACCCACCCCCACUCGCGGCUCAGCAGGCUGAUCUGGUCGGCCACCACGCUCUCCUGCAGCUGGUCCUCAGGCCCCCCGGCCGCCUCACUGGCGCUGCCCUUCAGAGCCGCGAUCUCCAGGACGUGCUGGACAAAGACGAGCGUGAAGCGCAGGCUGUGCAGGAUCUCCGUGUGCUCUUGCUGGGGAGACGGGGCGGCUGAGCGACGGACCUUGACAGCCCUGUGACCAGCCCUGCCCAGAGAUCAUGCCAGGCCUCACACCAGCCCCAGCUCUCACCUCCAUCAGGGUCUCCUCAGGGAGGUCGGGGGCCUCGAAGGUCACGGCCCCCUCCAGGUUGGCGGUGACAGGGUCGGCAAAGCUGCAGCAGUGGCCGGGGGCGGGGACCUCAAGGGUGGCCUCGCUGUAGGCCCCAGGCGCCAGGUGGCGGGCGGAGGAGGAGCCGGCCGAGCUGAGGGAGCUGGAGGAGCCCACUGUGGAGAGAGGGCUGGUGAGCAGGGGCCCCCGCCACGGCUGCCCCUUCCCCACCAAUCUUCUGCCACUCUGAGACACAAGUCUGGUCCCCACCACCCGGCUGCUCUCCCUCCAGGGAGUAGAGCCCACAGCGGAAGCCUCACCACUCCCAGGCCUCCGUCCACUGUCCACUGUAGGUGGGACCCUCGAGUUCAGAGGCUGGGGUUGCAGAGGCCUGUCUGUAUGACCUGUGCCCGCCCAGAGGCAGCUCUGAGCCCUAGAGCUCUGACCCUACCGGGAGGACCCUCCCAGGGCCUCAGCGUCGGGGUGGUGCCCCGGUGCCCAGGGUAUCACCCCUGCUGCACUGGUGCCAUCAGCCACCGCCCUCCCACUUCCUGAAGGAUGGCGUGCGCCACUGACUCACUGCAGCUUCGAGGCCACCAGACAGUCCUCACCUGAGAACAUGGUCGUGCGGGGGCCCUGGGGUGGCGUGGUCCCGCUGGGGGGCGAGCCCACUGUGAACACUACGGGGGAAGGGCUGCUGGCGCCCCCAGCGCGAGCUCCUGGGUGCAGGUUCCCUCCGAAGCCAGCAGAGGGCGCUGGGGGAGUGAGAAGAGGCGCUCAGGUUCCUCCCGCCACGGCUCCCCCACUUCCCAGAGAGCUCCCUACCAGUCCCCUCCGGCGUACCAAUCUCCAUGGGCUUCUCCUGCAGGCUGUCUGUGCUGCCUGAGUCGGGAGCCUGCGUCCCAAACGCAGCCUUAAGGAGCAGAUCUGUGAGGCGGCCGGUGCUGAGGGACCUGCAGGGUGAAGGGUGGUAUGAGGUGCCAUGAGCCACCCCGGGGGUACAGUCUACCCACUUCCCAGGGCUGGCCCCUUACACCCCACAGGCAGGGCCUGGGGAACCUCACAGCCUGGUCAGAGUGCCCAGCCCUGCCCAUUCCAGGCAGUUACUGUCACCCAUUGAACAGAUGUGCAAACUGAGGCUCAGAAGCGGUGAUGGAGGGAGUGCGGCGCAGGCAAACAGCAGGAAUUGGCAAUUAUGGAGCCUGUGUGCUGCGACUAAUAAAGAGCCUGUGUUCUGCAACAAAAGCCACCACGAUGAGAAGCCUGCACAACUGCUCGCCACAACCAGAGAAAAGCCUGCACAGCCCCGAAGAGCCAGCACAGCCAAAAAUAAAGAAAGAAAAUUAUACUUAAAUAAACCUUAAAAAAAAAAUGAUGGUUGUGGACAGGAAGACAACCACUGUUCUAAGCAGUGACAGGCCAGCCCAGGGAGGUCAGCCCAGCUCCUGUGCCCCUCCCCAGCUCCACCCUCAAACCCAUCAAUCAGGCUGGGGCUGCACCCACCUGGACGAGGGGACCUGCCACCCCGCAUCUCAGAUGCUUGAGGGGAGGGUGCUCCACUCCAGCCUGGCCGCUCAGGGAUGGUUCCGACUUGGGGGAAAGAGAAAUUGCCAGGGUCAACAUGGGAUGGAGAGCAAGACCCUCCCCUACCUGCCCCAGGGUGAAGACACCCAGUCCCAGCUCAGAGGCUGGUCUCCCAGCAGUAUAUAGGCUCACCCUGGGG
Molecule: long non-coding RNA, 3580 nt
Organism: Bubalus bubalis (water buffalo)
Lineage: Eukaryota; Metazoa; Chordata; Mammalia; Artiodactyla; Bovidae
Exons: 3
Source: RefSeq, a predicted model, not a curated record